This 127-nucleotide small RNA is filed under the name Escherichia coli. RNAcentral describes it as "RtT sRNA". It matches the Rfam family "RtT RNA". From Rfam's summary of the family: This family represents a bacterial cis-regulatory element known as RtT RNA. Lineage: Bacteria; Pseudomonadati; Pseudomonadota; Gammaproteobacteria; Enterobacterales; Enterobacteriaceae. The record is from RNAcentral.
GCCCAAGCGGGGAAGGAUGAGAAGCUUCGACCAAGGUUCGACUUGAGCGCCAGCGAGAGAGCGUUGCCGCAGGCAACGACCCGAAGGGCGAAGCGCGCAGCGCUGAGUAAUCCUUCCCCCACCACCA